RNAcentral lists this long non-coding RNA (223 nucleotides) under Elaeis guineensis (African oil palm). RNAcentral's name for it is "long non-coding RNA (EGUI_LNC020527)". Lineage: Eukaryota; Viridiplantae; Streptophyta; Magnoliopsida; Arecales; Arecaceae. The record is from RNAcentral.
ACUUACGAGAUUGAGCAGUCUUAGGAGCUUUAGGAUUGAAAAUCUUACCUUUCUUCUUGUUGUAUUUACUGGAUACAAAUAAGGCAAUUUGGGAUCUUUCACUUUUUGGACUUUUCUUCUUUAGCAAUGCACCUAGAAAUGAGAUCAUUAACAGUCCAGACCUCGUCCUGAGAGUUACACAUUGUCACAGAACCCCAAACUCAGUAAAAAGAGUGUUCAAUGC